This is a long non-coding RNA of Vespa crabro (European hornet), 634 nucleotides long. RefSeq lists it as uncharacterized. The record is from RefSeq and is a predicted model, not a curated record. The transcript has 2 exons. Lineage: Eukaryota; Metazoa; Arthropoda; Insecta; Hymenoptera; Vespidae.
CAUGAAAAUUAUUGUGCUACGUCUAAAUCCAAGUAACGCGGGAUGCGUGAUCGAUACGUCGCUUUAAAUAGACUGUUUGCUAGAAGUUUGAGUUUCAAGCUGGAGCCAAGUAGAACGUUCAAAGAUCGAACUGGCCAUUUGGAUUUCGAAUUAAUAAUUCCGACGAAAGAAGUUGGAAUACGCAAUCGUCGCUUGACGGCACGACGGCUCCCUCAAACGUAAGAGCUGAAUUCGCAUCUUGCAAAACUCUGCUCCUCGUCUCUGGCACGCACGAGGCGCCGACGAGAAACGUCUGAGAUGAUGAUGAUGAUGAUGAUGAUGAAUAAGAAGAAGAAGAGGAAGAAGAAGAAGAAGAAGAAGAAGAAGAAGAAGAAACAGAAAGUAAACCGAGUGAGUUAAGAGUAUAGUAAUUAUUCAAACACUUGCUGAUAAGCAUUGUAUCUAAUAGAUUAUAACAUCUUUUCAAAAAAAACAUGUUCUCAUAUCACGUAGUUUCUAAUAUUUUCUUAUUGUUUCAUCCGCUUGAUGUGGUAACAAACACAGAGAGAGAGAGAGAGAGAGAGAGAGAGAGAGAGAGAGAGAGAGAGAGAGAGAGAGAGAGAGAGAGAGAGAGAGAGAGAGAGAGAGAGAGAGA